UGGGGAAUUUUGGACAAUGGGCGAAAGCCUGAUCCAGCCAUGCCGCGUGCAGGAUGAAGGCCUUCGGGUUGUAAACUGCUUUUGUACGGAACGAAAAGACUCUGGUUAAUACCUGGGGUCCAUGACGGUACCGUAAGAAUAAGCACCGGCUAACUACGUGCCAGCAGCCGCGGUAAUACGUAGGGUGCAAGCGUUAAUCGGAAUUACUGGGCGUAAAGCGUGCGCAGGCGGUUAUAUAAGACAGAUGUGAAAUCCCCGGGCUCAACCUGGGAACUGCAUUUGUGACUGUAUAGCUAGAGUACGGCAGAGGGGGGAUGGAAUUUCCGCGUGUAGCAGUGAAAUGCGUAGAUAUGCGGAGGAACACCGAUGGCGAAGGCAAUCCCCUGGGCCUGUACUGACGCUCAUGCACGAAAGCGUGGGGAGCAAACAGGAUUAGAUACCCUGGUAGUCCACGCCCUAAACGAUGUCAACUGGUUGUUGGGUCUUCACUGACUCAGUAACGAAGCUAACGCGUGAAGUUGACCGCCUGGGGAGUACGGCCGCAAGGUUGAAACUUAAAUGAAUUGACGGGGUCAUAGCUGUUUCCU
RNAcentral lists this ribosomal RNA (587 nucleotides) under uncultured bacterium. RNAcentral's name for it is "partial 16S ribosomal RNA". It matches the Rfam family "Bacterial small subunit ribosomal RNA", at positions 355 to 1375 of the family's 1533-position model. The record is from RNAcentral.